This 468-nucleotide ribosomal RNA is filed under the name uncultured bacterium. RNAcentral's name for it is "partial 16S ribosomal RNA". It matches the Rfam family "Bacterial small subunit ribosomal RNA", at positions 28 to 507 of the family's 1533-position model. The record is from RNAcentral.
GACGAACGCUGGCGGCGUGCUUAACACAUGCAAGUCGAACGGAAAGGCCCUGCUUUUGUGGGGUGCUCGAGUGGCGAACGGGUGAGUAACACGUGAGUAACCUGCCCUUGACUUUGGGAUAACUUCAGGAAACUGGGGCUAAUACCGGAUAGGAGCUCCUGCUGCAUGGUGGGGGUUGGAAAGUUUCGGCGGUUGGGGAUGGACUCGCGGCUUAUCAGCUUGUUGGUGGGGUAGUGGCUUACCAAGGCUUUGACGGGUAGCCGGCCUGAGAGGGUGACCGGCAACAUUGGGACUGAGAUACGGCCCAGACUCCUACGGGAGGCAGAGGUGGGGAAUAUGGCACAAUGGGCGGAAGCCUGAGGCAGCAACGCCGGGGGCGGGAUGACGGCCUUCGGGUUGUAAACCGCUUUAGCCUGUGACGAAGCGGGAGUGACGGUAAUGGGUAAAGAAGCACCGGCUAACUACGUG